ACAUACGACCAUAGGGUGUGGAAAACAGGGCUUCCCGUCCGCUCAGCCGUACUUAAGCCACACGCCGGGAGGUUAGUAGUUGGGUGGGUGACCACCAGCGAAUCCCUUCUGUUGCAUGUU
Aspergillus niger is the source of this 120-nucleotide ribosomal RNA. The record is from Rfam. NCBI's taxonomy places the organism in Eukaryota, Fungi, Ascomycota, Eurotiomycetes, Eurotiales, Aspergillaceae.